This 625-nucleotide ribosomal RNA is filed under the name uncultured Trichoderma. Its description in RNAcentral is "eukaryotic LSU rRNA". The stretch from base 239 to 392 matches the Rfam family "5.8S ribosomal RNA". Lineage: Eukaryota; Fungi; Ascomycota; Sordariomycetes; Hypocreales; Hypocreaceae. The record is from RNAcentral.
GGAAGUAAAAGUCGUAACAAGGUCUCCGUUGGUGAACCAGCGGAGGGAUCAUUACCGAGUUUACAACUCCCAAACCCAAUGUGAACCAUACCAAACUGUUGCCUCGGCGGGGUCACGCCCCGGGUGCGUCGCAGCCCCGGAACCAGGCGCCCGCCGGAGGGACCAACCAAACUCUUUCUGUAGUCCCCUCGCGGACGUUAUUUCUUACAGCUCUGAGCAAAAAUUCAAAAUGAAUCAAAACUUUCAACAACGGAUCUCUUGGUUCUGGCAUCGAUGAAGAACGCAGCGAAAUGCGAUAAGUAAUGUGAAUUGCAGAAUUCAGUGAAUCAUCGAAUCUUUGAACGCACAUUGCGCCCGCCAGUAUUCUGGCGGGCAUGCCUGUCCGAGCGUCAUUUCAACCCUCGAACCCCUCCGGGGGGUCGGCGUUGGGGAUCGGGAACCCCUAAGACGGGAUCCCGGCCCCGAAAUACAGUGGCGGUCUCGCCGCAGCCUCUCCUGCGCAGUAGUUUGCACAACUCGCACCGGGAGCGCGGCGCGUCCACGUCCGUAAAACACCCAACUUCUGAAAUGUUGACCUCGGAUCAGGUAGGAAUACCCGCUGAACUUAAGCAUAUCAAUAAGCGGA